This 1410-nucleotide ribosomal RNA is filed under the name Salmonella enterica subsp. enterica serovar Bovismorbificans. RNAcentral's name for it is "bacterial LSU rRNA". It matches the Rfam family "Bacterial large subunit ribosomal RNA", at positions 1537 to 2925 of the family's 2925-position model. Lineage: Bacteria; Pseudomonadati; Pseudomonadota; Gammaproteobacteria; Enterobacterales; Enterobacteriaceae. The record is from RNAcentral.
CAAAUCCGGAAAAUCAAGGCUGAGGCGUGACGACGAGGCACUACGGUGCUGAAGCAACAAAUGCCCUGCUUCCAGGAAAAGCCUCUAAGCAUCAGGUAACACGAAAUCGUACCCCAAACCGACACAGGUGGUCAGGUAGAGAAUACCAAGGCGCUUGAGAGAACUCGGGUGAAGGAACUAGGCAAAAUGGUGCCGUAACUUCGGGAGAAGGCACGCUGACACGUAGGUGAAGUGAUUUACUCAUGGAGCUGAAGUCAGUCGAAGAUACCAGCUGGCUGCAACUGUUUAUUAAAAACACAGCACUGUGCAAACACGAAAGUGGACGUAUACGGUGUGACGCCUGCCCGGUGCCGGAAGGUUAAUUGAUGGGGUCAGCGCAAGCGAAGCUCCUGAUCGAAGCCCCGGUAAACGGCGGCCGUAACUAUAACGGUCCUAAGGUAGCGAAAUUCCUUGUCGGGUAAGUUCCGACCUGCACGAAUGGCGUAAUGAUGGCCAGGCUGUCUCCACCCGAGACUCAGUGAAAUUGAACUCGCUGUGAAGAUGCAGUGUACCCGCGGCAAGACGGAAAGACCCCGUGAACCUUUACUAUAGCUUGACACUGAACAUUGAGCCUUGAUGUGUAGGAUAGGUGGGAGGCUUUGAAGUGUGGACGCCAGUCUGCAUGGAGCCGGCCUUGAAAUACCACCCUUUAAUGUUUGAUGUUCUAACGUGGACCCGUAAUCCGGGUUGCGGACAGUGUCUGGUGGGUAGUUUGACUGGGGCGGUCUCCUCCUAAAGAGUAACGGAGGAGCACGAAGGUUGGCUAAUCCUGGUCGGACAUCAGGAGGUUAGUGCAAUGGCAUAAGCCAGCUUGACUGCGAGCGUGACGGCGCGAGCAGGUGCGAAAGCAGGUCAUAGUGAUCCGGUGGUUCUGAAUGGAAGGGCCAUCGCUCAACGGAUAAAAGGUACUCCGGGGAUAACAGGCUGAUACCGCCCAAGAGUUCAUAUCGACGGCGGUGUUUGGCACCUCGAUGUCGGCUCAUCACAUCCUGGGGCUGAAGUAGGUCCCAAGGGUAUGGCUGUUCGCCAUUUAAAGUGGUACGCGAGCUGGGUUUAGAACGUCGUGAGACAGUUCGGUCCCUAUCUGCCGUGGGCGCUGGAGAACUGAGGGGGGCUGCUCCUAGUACGAGAGGACCGGAGUGGACGCAUCACUGGUGUUCGGGUUGUCAUGCCAAUGGCACUGCCCGGUAGCUAAAUGCGGAAGAGAUAAGUGCUGAAAGCAUCUAAGCACGAAACUUGCCCCGAGAUGAGUUCUCCCUGAGACUUUAGGUCUCCUGAAGGAACGUUGAAGACGACGACGUUGAUAGGCCGGGUGUGUAAGCGCAGCGAUGCGUUGAGCUAACCGGUACUAAUGAACCGUGAGGCUUAACC